UUAAGUGAUGUUUACUAAACUUAUUUAUUUUAAAUAUUUUUAUAUAAAUCAUUUAUUUGUUGUUGUAUAUGUUAUAAAUUUAAUUAUUAUGUGAUAAUAUAUUAGUACUGUGAAGGAUUAAUGGGAAUAAUAAAUUUUAAAUUAGAAGUUGAAUUUAUUUUUUGUACCUUGUGUAUCAGAGUUAAAUUUAUUAAGAUUUAUAUAUUUUUAAUUUUCUCGAUUCUUUUAGAGUUAAUAAACUAUUUUAUUUAUUGUGAAAUAAAUAUUAAUAAUAAUUUAUUAGGAGUGAAAUAUUAAUCGUUAGAAGGGAUAUCUAGUUUUUUUGGAAAUAAAUUUAAUUUAAAUUUCUUUUUUAAUUAUUUUAUUUUUAAAAAAUUUUAAAUUGGAAUUAUUAAUAGUAGGGAUAAGCUUAUUAUUAAAUGUGUAUAUAGAAUAUAUGAUAAAAAAUUUGUGUGGGUUUAAUAAUGACUAUUAUUAUAAGUUUAUUAAAAUUUUAUUUUUUUAGGGAAUAAAUUUAUUAUUCCUUUACAUUUUUACUAAAAAUUUUUGAUUAAUUAUUAUUUAAUUUAAAUUAUGAUUAAAUUAGUAUAACAAUUUUAUAGGAUUUAUAUGUUGGUUAGUAAUUUUUAGGAAUUAGGCAAAAAUUAGUGUUUUCCGCCUGUUUAACAAAAACAUCUCUUCUUGAAUAGAAUAAGAGGUAUAACCUGCCCAAUGAAAAAUUUAAUGGCCGCGGUAUUUUGACCGUGCAAAGGUAGCAUAAUCAUUAGUCUUUUAAUUGGAGGCUGGAAUGAAUGGUUGAACGAGAUAAUAGCUUUCUUAAUUUUAUUAAUUUAGAAUUUAAUUUUUGAGUUAAAAAGCUUAAAUUUUUUUUUGGGACGAGAAGACCCUAUAGAGUUUAUAUAUUUAAUUGUUAUUAAAUAUGUUUUCAUAAUUAAUUAAUAAAUUUUAAUUAUUUUGUUGGGGUGAUGGAAAGAUAAUUGUAACUCUUUUUUAUAAAUUAAUUAUUUAUUUAUAUAUAAUUGAUCCACAAUUGGUGAAUGUAAGACUAAAUUACCUUAGGGAUAACAGUGUAAUCUUUUUUGAGAGUUCAUAUCGACAAGAAGGGUUGCGACCUCGAUGUUGAAUUAAGAAUAUCUUUAGGUGUAGAAGCUUAAAAGUUAGGUCUGUUCGACCUUUAAAUUCUUACAUGAUUUGAGUUCAGACCGGUGUAAGCCAGGUCGGUUUCUAUCUAAUAUGAAUUAAAAUAUUUUAGUACGAAAGGACCAAAUAUUUGGAAUAAUUUUAUAAUUAAUUGAUUAUUAUUAA
RNAcentral lists this ribosomal RNA (1305 nucleotides) under Pseudophoraspis kabakovi. RNAcentral's name for it is "16S ribosomal RNA". The stretch from base 1061 to 1219 matches the Rfam family "Archaeal large subunit ribosomal RNA", at positions 2542 to 2701 of the family's 2987-position model. The record is from RNAcentral. Lineage: Eukaryota; Metazoa; Arthropoda; Insecta; Blattodea; Blaberidae.